GACGAACCGUGCGAACGUUGUUCAGAAUCACUGGGCUUAAAGGGCGCGUAGGCGGAUCGUCAAGUCCGGGGUGAAAUCCUCCAGCUUAACUGGAGAAUAGCCCUGGAUACUGGCGGUCUCGAGGGAGGUAGGGGCAGUUGGAACUUCCGGUGGAGCGGUGAAAUGCGUUGAUAUCGGAAGGAACGCCGGUGGCGAAAGCGAACUGCUGGGCCUCUUCUGACGCUGAGGCGCGAAAGCCAGGGGAGCAAACGGG
This 253-nucleotide ribosomal RNA is filed under the name uncultured bacterium. RNAcentral's name for it is "partial 16S ribosomal RNA". It matches the Rfam family "Bacterial small subunit ribosomal RNA", at positions 524 to 776 of the family's 1533-position model. The record is from RNAcentral.